Molecule: long non-coding RNA, 968 nt
Organism: Oncorhynchus masou masou (cherry salmon)
Lineage: Eukaryota; Metazoa; Chordata; Actinopteri; Salmoniformes; Salmonidae
Exons: 2
Source: RefSeq, a predicted model, not a curated record
GGCAGCAUGUUCGGUUAUGCGUCAAGAAUACAGCAUAGCAAGUUUGUAUGAAGGUCUGGUUAGUAAAUGGGUACAUAGUUCAAUAGUAGUAUCCUCUAAAACGCACUGGUGACAAACACACUUUGCUGCCCUGUUUCCAAUUGUCCACAUGGCAGGGAGAACCUAUUCAAAUACCUUGUAACUGGAGAUUCCUUCAAAACGAUUGAUUAUCGUGUAGGGCACUGCAAGGUUGGGUGACCAGGACCAUUUGGGACUGCCUCCUGGAGGAAUUCAGGUGUGUGAAGGCUACCUGUGUCCUACAUAACUUCAUGGGUAUGGACACAAGGACCAGGAGGGGAUCUGCAGCCACAGUUGUGUGCCAGAGGAGAACCCCCAGUCCCAUCAUCGCCACCUCACCCUGCUUUUAAGAUAACCUUCGGGCCGACGAGACACUAGUAUGUAAUUGUGAUGAACAGAGAAUAUUUGGGUAGCACUGAUUCAUGAAUCAUAUCCCUGCUCCUAUGUUCUUAUCUCUUUCCCUUUCUGUCUUUUACACCUCUCUCGCCACCUCCUUUCUUCCUCUGUUUUUAUAAUGCACAACAGAUGUGCAUUGAAGUACAUAUUGAAUUUGCAUUGAUAUUAUAAUUGUAAUAUUAUAAAUACAUGUAUUUAUAACACUUGGAUAAUGAACUUCUUUCAAUAAAGUGUUUCACAUUCUCUACUGGUUGAAAUUAAGUCUCUCAUUUGUGUUUAUCAGAUCAAUGCAGAUGAAGGGCAUUAGACAUUGAGAUUUUAGAGUAUUUACAUGAUGCAUUUAUCAUCAUUAGUCAUUUAGGUCAACAUUGGAUCAUUCAGAGAUCCUCACUGAACUUCUGGAGAGAGUUUGCUGCACUGAAAGUAAAGGGGCUGAAUAAUUUUGCCCGCCCAAUUUUUCAGUUUUUGAUUUGUUAAAAAAGUUUGAAAUAUCCAAUAAAUGUCGUUCCACUUCA